ACGGGUGUUUCAAAUGAAUUAUUCUUGGACAUUUAGUUUGCGCAGAGAAAUUUUGAAAUUUUAUGGUUGCCAUGGUGACAUUGUGCAUAACAACCUUCUAAAUUGAUUUUUUACUGUCUUGUGGUGGAGCUACAGGGUCAAAGCGGAGUCUAUUUGUUUUAGCAAAACCAGAGCUUCAAGUAGCUCUUUGUUCCAUGUUACUACGACUUUCUGGUCAAAAGUUAUGGAUCAUAAAGGGUGGAACUUACACAUGAGUCUUUUAGCUAACUGAAGGUUUUCUCUGAAACUGUUGCUGUACUGCCACGUUUUUGUCUGUUACCAUACCAGAGCAAACAGUAUAAUGGUAUGGGGCCACCUGGAGCUAAAGGUAUUUUAUGGACAUGUACUUAAGAGAGGGGCUUUUGCCUUUCUUUUCUUUAAUUCAGAGUAAAGAGUGACAUUAAGAGGUUGAAUGGUGAGGUUUACUUAUUUGAAAGUAAAGAAAUCUGGGCUG
Amphimedon queenslandica is the source of this 493-nucleotide long non-coding RNA. RefSeq lists it as uncharacterized. The transcript has 3 exons. Lineage: Eukaryota; Metazoa; Porifera; Demospongiae; Haplosclerida; Niphatidae. The record is from RefSeq and is a predicted model, not a curated record.